CAGUAGCCGCGGGAAUACGAAGGGGGCUAGCGUUGUUCGGAAUUACUGGGCGUAAAGGGCGCGUAGGCGGCCAUUCAAGUUAGAUGUGAAAGCCCUGGGCUCAACCUAGGAAUUGCAUUUGAUACUGUUUGGCUUGAGUUCGGGAGAGGUGAGUGGAAUUCCCAGUGUAGAGGUGAAAUUCGUAGAUAUUGGGAAGAACACCAGUGGCGAAGGCGGCUCACUGGACCGACACUGACGCUGAGGCGCGAAAGCGUGGGGAGCAAACAGGAUUAGAUACCCCUGUAGUCCCUGUCUCUUAUAC
Molecule: ribosomal RNA, 301 nt
Filed under: uncultured bacterium
Lineage: Bacteria
Description: partial 16S ribosomal RNA
Rfam family: Bacterial small subunit ribosomal RNA
Source: RNAcentral